CCUACGGGCGGCAGCAGUGGGGAAUAUUGGUCAAUGGCCGGAAGGCUGAACCAGCCAUGCCGCGUGAAGGUCAGUGCCCUAUGGGCGUUAAACUUCUUUUGUGCGGGAGCAAUAAUGGUCACGUGUGGCCAGACGAGAGUACCGUACGAAUAAGCAUCGGCUAACUCCGUGCCAGCAGCCGCGGUAAUACGGGGGAUGCAAGCGUUAUCCGGAUUUAUUGGGUUUAAAGGGUGCGUAGGCUGUGAGGUAAGUCAGCGGUGAAAUGCCCCCGCUCAACGGGGUGAAGUGCCAUUGAUACUGCCUUGCUUGAAUGCGGAUGCCGUGGGUGGAAUGUGUGGUGUAGCGGUGAAAUGCAUAGAUAUCACACUGAACACCGAUUGCGAAGGCAUCUCACGAAUCCGCGAUUGACGCUGAUGCACGAAAGCGUGGGUAUCAAACAGGAUUAGAUACCCCUGUAGUC
Molecule: ribosomal RNA, 460 nt
Filed under: uncultured bacterium
Lineage: Bacteria
Description: partial 16S ribosomal RNA
Rfam family: Bacterial small subunit ribosomal RNA
Source: RNAcentral